RNAcentral lists this long non-coding RNA (237 nucleotides) under Calidris pugnax (ruff). RNAcentral's name for it is "lncRNA (ENSCPUG00000012076.1)". Lineage: Eukaryota; Metazoa; Chordata; Aves; Charadriiformes; Scolopacidae. The record is from RNAcentral.
GCUGAGUCUGAUGGAUUAGCAAUAAGAUGGACACUUAAGCAUGGAGUACGUAACUACAUUUAUGGAUACAGCUUGCUUCAAGGGGAUUUUUCAAGAAGUGGGUGCCCCUGUGGACGUGAGCAUCCAUGCAACACAGAUGUGACCGACCAAGGCCCAGAUUCUCCUAGAGAGCCACAGAGCUCUUGUUCGAGGACCCCAUGAGAACCAGCAUGGACAAAGGAGGAGAUGUACGCGGAG